Molecule: ribosomal RNA, 492 nt
Filed under: uncultured bacterium
Lineage: Bacteria
Description: partial 16S ribosomal RNA
Rfam family: Bacterial small subunit ribosomal RNA
Source: RNAcentral
AGUGAACGCUGGCGGUAGGCCUAACACAUGCGAGUCGAACGGCAGCACAGUAAGCGCUUGCUCUUACGGGUGGCGAGUGGCGGACGGGUGAGGAAUACAUCAGAAUCUACUUUUUCGUGGGGGAUAACGUAGGGACACUUACGCUAAUACCGCAUACGACCUACGGGUGAAAGCAGGGGUUCUUCGGACCUUGCGCGAUUGAAUGAGCCGAUGUCGGAUUAGCUAGUUGGCGGGGUAAAGGCCCACCAAGGCGACGAUCCGUAGCUGGUCUGAGAGGAUGAUCAGCCACACUGGAACUGAGACACGGUCCAGACUCCUACGGGAGGCAGCAGUGGGGAAUAUUGGACAAUGGGCGCAAGCCUGAUCCAGCCAUACCGCGUGGGUGAAGAAGGCCUUCGGGUUGUAAAGCCCUUUUGUUGGGAAAGAAAAGCAGCAGGUUAAUACCCCGCUGUUCUGACGGUACCCAAAGAAUAAGCACCGGCUAACUUCGUG